CCUACGGGCGGCUGCAGUGGGGAAUAUUCCGCAAUGGACGAAAGUCUGACGGAGCAACGCCGCGUGAGUGAUGAAGGUUUUCGGACUGUAAAACUCUGUUGUUUAGGACGAAAGUGCCUGUUGCAAAUAGUUGCAGGUAUUGACGGUACUGAACGAGGAAGCCACGGCUAACUACGUGCCAGCAGCCGCGGUAAUACGUAGGUGGCAAGCGUUGUCCGGAAUUAUUGGGCGUAAAGAGCAUGUAGGUGGAUACUUAAGUCUGUUGUGAAAAUGCGGGGCUCAACCCCGUAUUGCGAUGGAAACUGGGUGUCUUGAGUGCAGGAGAGGAAAGGGGAAUUCCCAGUGUAGCGGUGAAAUGCGUAGAUAUUGGGAGGAACACCAGUGGCGAAGGCGCCUUUCUGGACUGUGUCUGACACUGAGAUGCGAAAGCUAGGGGAGCGAACGGGCUUAGAUACCCGGGUAGUC
This 465-nucleotide ribosomal RNA is filed under the name uncultured Veillonellaceae bacterium. Its description in RNAcentral is "bacterial SSU rRNA". It matches the Rfam family "Bacterial small subunit ribosomal RNA", at positions 338 to 795 of the family's 1533-position model. The record is from RNAcentral. Lineage: Bacteria; Bacillati; Bacillota; Negativicutes; Veillonellales; Veillonellaceae.